UGAUGUGCCAAGUUGAUGGUCUGGCUGUAUUCUACAGUGCAUGUGUCUCCAGUGAUCUUAUGCAACUGGAGAUACAGCCCUGUUGGAAUAACAUUCAGAACCAAUAUCGUCUGGAA
Molecule: microRNA precursor, 116 nt
Filed under: Lepisosteus oculatus (spotted gar)
Lineage: Eukaryota; Metazoa; Chordata; Actinopteri; Semionotiformes; Lepisosteidae
Description: microRNA 139 (ENSLOCG00000020436.1)
Rfam family: mir-139 microRNA precursor family (bases 25-92)
Source: RNAcentral